GCCCUGUCUGCCUACAUUUUAACUCCAGUCUUGCUGCCUUCUGGGUUGGGCAAGCUCUUUAUUCACGUACUCCCCUCCGUGGGGUGUAUAGUUUUCUGUGGCUUCCAGUUACUUCUCAGACUCAUCACCACCUCUUGGUACCAGUGGUCAUGCAACCUUCUUGCAGAUUCCUCUGUCAUGUCUCCUGGGGCUUUGUGUGGAAAGACAGCUUCUUUGGGGAUGCACUGAACCGAGCUGGGAUGCGGCUGGUUUAGAUUAACAGCAUAGCCCUAUUGUCCAUCUCUUGCUGGGCCAGCACAGCAGAGGGAAACGAGGAGAAUAUGGUAGAGACGGGAGAGGAAGAAGCAAGCAGAUAUGUCACGGAGAAACGGGAGAGAAAGAGGAGCUGAGAAUUCUGUGAGCGGAGAAGAAAGGCAGGACUGAAGAAGGUGACCUGGCACUCCUGAGUCUUCAGCGGCUCUCCAGAAAUCUUCCAGGCCUUUGGUACUGGAUCCCCACUGCUGAGGGACUCAGCCUUGAAGAUGGGGUUCUCAGCCUUUCUUGUGUAAGGCAGCACAUUUGGGCUACUCUGACCGUAUCAUCUCAGGGAAGCUUUGGAUUCACUAAGUACCCCAGUUGGGCUCCAAUUCUCCAUCUCCACGUCUCUGCCUUCUGAGUACUGGUGUUACAGGUGACUCAACCAUCCAGAAGCAAGCUAAAGGAAUUUACCAUUGUACAGGGGUUGCAACUAUACCUACUCAUUUGGCAGGGAGUUGGUAG
This is a long non-coding RNA of Mesocricetus auratus (golden hamster), 759 nucleotides long. RefSeq lists it as uncharacterized. The record is from RefSeq and is a predicted model, not a curated record. The transcript is spliced from 6 exons. NCBI's taxonomy places the organism in Eukaryota, Metazoa, Chordata, Mammalia, Rodentia, Cricetidae.